GCAGCAUUAUUAAACUAAGUGUAUAGAUUAAAAGGUUCAAAUGUAUCUACUUUCUGCAACUAAAGAUCAUUAUGUUUGACAUGUAAUGGAAAAAAUAAGAAAGAAUAAGAAUGCACACCACCUGUUUGUUUAAUUCUCUCAGAGAGAAAAGGCAUGGUAAAGAUAGAUCGUUGCAGUGGUGUUGAAUGGAGCUUCAUCUUUGGCAUUAUUGACAAGAUAUAGCUGAAAUUUAUUGUUGACCGCCCUAAUCUUUGAACCACUGAAAGGGUUUUAGGGUUCUUACACUGGCGAGUACAGAAUUCUUACACCAAAUAUGGAGGUUUCAAUUGACUGUCACUCGAUGAAAUGUUUUGUUUAUCGAAGGGGAUGGGGAAUGGGUGGCAGUGGGGCGGACAGUGGUGGCGAUAGGGCGGUGGGGGAGUGGUGAUAUGGAAGAGGGGAAAAAGUUACGUCCCAGUGGUUUGAGUCAUUUUCCAGUUUAG
This 482-nucleotide long non-coding RNA is filed under the name Helianthus annuus (common sunflower). RNAcentral's name for it is "hypothetical non coding rna". Lineage: Eukaryota; Viridiplantae; Streptophyta; Magnoliopsida; Asterales; Asteraceae. The record is from RNAcentral.